UGGGGAAUAUUGGACAAUGGGCGAAAGCCUGAUCCAGCCAUGCCGCGUGUGUGAAGAAGGUCUUCGGAUUGUAAAGCACUUUAAGUUGGGAGGAAGGGUUGUAGAUUAAUACUCUGCAAUUUUGACGUUACCGACAGAAUAAGCACCGGCUAACUCUGUGCCAGCAGCCGCGGUAAUACAGAGGGUGCAAGCGUUAAUCGGAAUUACUGGGCGUAAAGCGCGCGUAGGUGGUUUGUUAAGUUGGAUGUGAAAUCCCCGGGCUCAACCUGGGAACUGCAUUCAAAACUGACUGACUAGAGUAUGGUAGAGGGUGGUGGAAUUUCCUGUGUAGCGGUGAAAUGCGUAGAUAUAGGAAGGAACACCAGUGGCGAAGGCGACCACCUGGACUGAUACUGACACUGAGGUGCGAAAGCGUGGGGAGCAAACAGGAUUAGAUACCCAUGUAGUCCCUGAGCGGGCUGGCAAGGCGCAU
This 472-nucleotide ribosomal RNA is filed under the name uncultured bacterium. RNAcentral's name for it is "bacterial SSU rRNA". It matches the Rfam family "Bacterial small subunit ribosomal RNA", at positions 355 to 825 of the family's 1533-position model. The record is from RNAcentral.